GAGGAGUAAAGAAAAGGGAAAAGCCACAGCUCCUUCCUAGCAGCUGGAUGCCUUUGAUGCGUGCUCACCCUCCUGAAGGGUGUUCCUCUGUCUGGAAGCACAGGCACUGCCCCAACAGGCUGCCUGCAACUUAUCCCCCAGGAAGGGGCAAAUGUGUGAAGGGGAGACCAGAGAAGAGACUGAAGGAUGCAGAGCACAGAGGCCAGACAGGUGUGAUCAGAUUUCAGGUUUUCUGUGGAAAAGGACUGGAGUAUCCACACCUUUGUUACCAGUUCCCAAUCAUUCCCCUGUGUUAAAUCCAGUGCUCUCCCAGGCAGACACCAUCAGAUGCCGUCUCCAAAGGGUAACAUUGCACUCAGCACAAGCAGAUGAAAGUAAGCCCUGGUUGUUUUUAUUAUAUGUAUGUCCUGAUGGGACACUUGUGGCUGGGUUCUUUUUCCCCCUCGAACUGAGACUGAUGACAGAGGGGCAGCUUUCUCUUGUUCAGACUUGGUUGUUUAUUCUUACCUACAUUACAUGUAUACAGGAUACAAGGAGCUACGUGCACUAAGACAGGAAGGUGCAAAAUGGCUAACAAAGAACUUCCUCAAGGUCUUUUAUAUGUCUAUUUAUCCAAUUAACAAAUGCUAAGUAAAUUAUUUUUCUUAGUGACCCAAUGACCCAACACCUGUGUGCUGCACUGUGGCAUUCUCUACCCAAUGACUUACUACUACCCAAAAACCUCUAGAGGAAGAAGAUGAAGAAGGAAGAAGGAAAAGAGACAACACCCUUAUUCCUCCAUCUUUCUUCAUGUUUUCUAAACCAGCUUAAACCUUAAACUUUAACUUUCUCACCUGGUGACUAAAGAAAACUCUCUAAUUUACACACUCACAUUUUCAGUUUCUCUACUUAACUCUAACAGUUGUCUCCAUGGUGUUAUGUGAAGUUCAGUGCUUUCUUGGGUGUCAGUUAGGCAUCACAGAUAAAGGUAUAUACCUUGCAUCUCUGACCCCAACAUAUGUAAGCAUUUCAGUAGCAUCCAGGGGCUCCAGCAAGGCCUUCAAAAGCAAGACACAAGUCACCUGUAACAUCUCUGCCAAGCCUCAAAGGGUCAGGUUUAGCCUCCAAAGGUCCCUGUUGAAGAGCAGCAGUAAAAUUGGCACUAGUCCUAGCCCAGAUGCCUAGGAGAACAGCUGAGAUUGCCUCUGACACAGGCAAGAUUCAUUAUAUAAAGUACCAAAUUAAAGACAUGAAACCCUUUCUUUAGGGAAAGGAGGGGAACACCAAUCCACACUCCCUAUCACACUACCUUCUACCCCUCAAACCUGCCACCCACCUCAUACAGUUGCCUUCUUUGAAUUCUUUUUUUCAGCCCAAGCAGAAGCUGAGUUUGCAGCUUUCUCAGCUUCCCCUCUUCCAGUGAAGGCUCCUGAUUGCUCUUGGAAAGCCCCAUCUGAUCCGAGAUCCAGAACCACUCUGUGCACAUGGUCCACUUGGUACCAAGAGGUACAGCUCAGAUGGAGAACAGCUGGAACUCUAGAGAUCCCCAUUUCCUGCUCAGGUGCUCCCUC
RNAcentral lists this long non-coding RNA (1550 nucleotides) under Cyanistes caeruleus (blue tit). RNAcentral's name for it is "lncRNA (ENSCCEG00000008629.1)". The record is from RNAcentral. Lineage: Eukaryota; Metazoa; Chordata; Aves; Passeriformes; Paridae.